Molecule: ribosomal RNA, 520 nt
Filed under: uncultured beta proteobacterium
Lineage: Bacteria; Pseudomonadati; Pseudomonadota; Betaproteobacteria
Description: bacterial SSU rRNA
Rfam family: Bacterial small subunit ribosomal RNA
Source: RNAcentral
GAAUUUUGGACAAUGGGCGCAAGCCUGAUCCAGCAAUGCCGCGUGAGUGAAGAAGGCCUUCGGGUUGUAAAGCUCUUUUGUCAGGGAAGAAACGGCUGAGGNUAAUAUCUUCGGCUAAUGACGGUACCUGAAGAAUAAGCACCGGCUAACUACGUGCCAGCAGCCGCGGUAAUACGUAGGGUGCAAGCGUUAAUCGGAAUUACUGGGCGUAAAGCGUGCGCAGGCGGUUUUGUAAGUCUGACGUGAAAUCCCCGGGCUCAACCUGGGAAUUGCGUUGGAGACUGCAAGGCUUGANUCUGGCAGAGGGGGGUAGAAUUCCACGUGUAGCAGUGAAAUGCGUAGAGAUGUGGAGGAACACCGAUGGCGAAGGCAGCCCCCUGGGUCAAGAUUGACGCUCAUGCACGAAAGCGUGGGGAGCAAACAGGAUUAGAUACCCUGGUAGUCCACGCCCUAAACGAUGUCUACUAGUUGUCGGGUUUUAAUUAACUUGGUAACGCAGCUAACGCGUGAAGUAGACCGC